AACUCCUCACAACAACAACAACAAAACAACAACAGUCGAGAUUAUUCCUCCUUCAGGAGCUGAAACCAGCUUAAGGAAAUUUAAGCUGCUUAGCAUCAUACGUCAUCAUCAAAGCUUAGAGUUUUGUAUUUAAAUCUGAGUUACAAUAGCAGGUGUUGGUGUCUUGGGAGCGUGUGGCAGCAGUGAUCCAUUGGUGUCUCCUAGUAUUUGUAAAUGUAAAAAGAAAGUAAAAAACUUGGAAAUCAGAGAGAGCUGAGAUUGAAUUCUAAAGGCAACUAGUCAUUUUGAGAUUUAUAGUGUAGACUACCGAUUUCUGACAUAACAAAGUACCCCGGUAUCUAAAAUAACUUGAUGUCUUGCAGUGUAUAGAUAUAUAAUUUUGUUUGACUUGCAGCAUUUGAGGUGUUUUCAACAAUUUUUGAAUUGCCAACAUGUCUGUUACAUACCAAGAAGCACUAGUCAUUUUCUUAAAAUCAGAACAGGAUUGUGUCAGAGCUCAUCAGAACAUGUGCGCAAAGUUCGGUAUCGAAGAAGACAAAGUAAACGCCAAAAGCUUGUACGGUAAAUUGAAAAGAGCUUUAUUAAGAGCAAAAACAUUGAAAAAAUCAAAGAAUGAGAUCAAAUAUGCCAGGUUUCUGACAUCAGCCUUUAAACUACCAGAGAGUCGAGAAUUAAAACAAGAAAUGGAGGAAGAGAAAAGAAAAGAAAAUAUGGAAAGAAUUAAAACGAUAUUUGAUCAAAAUACAAAAAUCAGAAAGCUUACGAAUGAUGUCGCCCUCUUAAGAGAAAGACUGAAGUCAAUAAAUUGUGCAAAGCUUAAUCAAAAGAUUAAGAGACAGGCUAUAAGGAUAAGAGCUCAGAAUAUACUUAUUAGUAAACUAAGGAGGGAGCUUAACGAGUAUAAGAAGAAGAAUCAGAGAACUAGAUCUACACAGGAUGACACUGUCAGAUUAGAUAUGCCAGAAAAUAAUGAAACUGUUGUACAAAUAAAGCAAGAAAGUGAACAUUUCUGAACAAAAGUUUAAACCCAAUGAACCAAAGCUAUUUAAAUGUUGCACUAAAAGACCAGGCAAGCAUUUUGAUUUGACACACAUUAUGCGGGCACUUUGAAAUAUUCUGAUUUUAAAAGCAAGUUGUAGGGUUAAAGAUAUUUUAAAAGUUGUAAACUUCAGUAAAUGUAAUCUAGACUCUGUUCCUGAAAGAAGUUCCAGUAAUGGAUUAAGAUUACAUUUAAAAGCAUAAAUUUCACACAUUUAUAUUUUUGCCCAAGCAUGCUAAAAAUUUGUGGUAAGUUUGCUUAAGUUUGCUUUACAAAGGUGAAAAUCAUGUUUUGUAACAGAAGUGGUAAACCUAUGUUAUAAAGAAUGUAUUACUGGUCAUUGUAUAUUAUUAUUGUUAAACCCAUGCAGCAUGAUCAGGUUCACCUAUAUUAUAAAGAAUGCCAUGCAGCUCGAGAUGAUGCACUUGCUAUUUUAUUCCAAAUUGUAUAGCAGCUUGCCUCUUGAUUCUUUUGUUGGGUCAACAGUACUGGACUUUCUUGUUACAGCGCUUUCAAAGGUACCUGAGAACAAUUUUAAACAAUAACAACCAUUCAUCCAGUCUCAAUGUUUAAAAAUGUUUGCCCUACCAAUGAUAUUAUAUAUUAUGUUACAUACUUGACAAAAUUAAAUUUACAAUUCAUUGAAUAGGUCAUUUGAUAGAGAUAUCACAUUUUCAUAGUAUUACAUGGUCUUGAUUUUUUUUAUUCCUUUGAAGUGACAAAAGUACCUUCAUUUACUUCUUUGCAAACAAGGAUGAACAUGUCUGGCUAAAACUUGCAUGAAAAUAAUUUAAGUGGCUACCAUUUUGGACUGCAAACAUUUUUCUCAACUCCAGACCAAAUCCGUUUCCUUCUUACAUAGUCGUUAAACGUAUACCAGGUCCUGAUUAUUUCCCCCCCUCUCUCCUUCCGCCGUUCGUCUGUCUGUAACAUUUUGUGUCUGCUCAAUAUCUCCUGAACCCCUUGAAAGAUUUUCAUGAAACUUGGGUCAAAUGAUCACUUCAUCAAGAUGAUGUGCAGAACUCAUGAAUCAGCCAUGUCGAUUCGAAGUCAAGGUCACAACUCUAGGUCAAAGGUUUGAAUCUUCCAUUUUGUGUCUGCUCUGUGUCUCCUAAACCCCUUGAAGGAUUUUCAUGAAACUAAGGUCAAAUGAUCACUUCAUCAAGAAGUGGUGCAGAACUUUUGAGUCAGCCAUGUCGACUCAAGGUCAAGGUCAUAACUUAAGGUCAAAGGUCUGAGCCUUCUAUUUUGUGUCCGCUCCGUGUCUUAAACACCUUGAAGGGUUUCUUUUUGAAGCUUGGGUCGAAUGAUCACCUCAUCAAGAGGAUGUGCAGAAAUUAUGAUUCAGCCAAGUCAGCUCAAUGUCAAGGUCACAACUUAAGGCCAAAGGUUUGAGCUUUCCAUUUUGUGUCCACUCUGUAUCUCCUAAACCCCUUGAAGGAUUUUAAUGAUACUUUAGUCAAAUGAUCACCUCCUCAAGACGAUGUGCAGAACUCAUGAUUCAGAAAUGUCUGCUUAAGGUCGAGGUCAUAACUUAAGGUCAAAGGUCUGAGCCUUCCAUUUUGUGUCCUCUCUGUAUCUCUAUAAAUUAAUUGAUGUCGGCAUACAUGGGCUAUAAAAUAUAAUUAGCAACGUCAAUGCUUCUACCCAGUACCAUCAACCCUUUCACUAUCGAUAACAGCGGCGGGGGAUAUAGCAGUCUUUCAGACUGCCUUGUAUAUUUGAAAAUGGAUCACCUUGGUAUCCUAGUGGUAGAACGCCUGCUUUGAGUGAGGGAGGCUGUGGGUUCAUCCCUGGCUGUGUCAUACCAAAGAGGUAAAAAUGGUACUAGUAGCUUCCUCGCAUGGCGCUCAGCAUUAAGAGGAUAGUGCUAGGACUGGUCAUUACGAUGUCAGUGUAAUGUGACUGGGUGGAAUAUAUCAUGUCACAUGUCUGUGGCGUGAUAUUCCAGCGAGGCAGCACUAUAAAAUUGGGUAUUGUGCUCACACACACACACAUAUUUGAAAAUGUCAACAUUUUCUACAUGUGGUUAGAUUAAACAUAAAAUUGACAUGUAUAUGUGUAUUGACAGUAUUAUGCAUUACUUCUGAAAUAGUACACACUUAAAAUAUAUGUAGCAGAACACAACAUAAAUGUGUAUUACCUCUGAAAAUUGGAAUUUCUUUAACUAAUGACUGAUACUGCCAUGACAUUUAAUUAUAAAUGUAGCUCUGCAUGUACAAUUGAUUCAUAUAUUUGGUAAAGUUAGAUACAUUUGAUGAGAGAUUUCAACAUUGGAUAUCUGUAAAAAAAAAAAAUGUUCAGACUAUAUUUUGUUAUAUGCAUACUACUUUAAAAUGCCUAGAUGUUAUAUUUGAGCAGUGCCAUGAGAAAACCAACAUAGUGGGUGUGCGACCAGCAUGGAUCCAGACCAGCCUGCGCAUCCGCGCAGUCUGGUCAGGCUCCAUGCUGUUCGCUUUUAAAGCCUAUUGGAAUUGGAGAAACUGUUAGCGAACAGCAUGGAUCCUGACCAGACUGCGCGGAUGCGCAGGCUGGUCUGGAUCCGUGCUGGUCGCAAAGCCACUAUGUUGGUUUUCCCAUGGCACGGCUCAUUUGUUUUUAUGAUGUUGUGAUAAUACUUCUUGUUAUAUGUUUACUUUAUAUUGAUGAUAAUAUGUCACAAUUUGUUAUACAUGUAUUUUGAGACAGAUUAGUUGAGAUGCAGUGGUUUCUUGAUAGUUUAAAACUUUUAUUUUUGAAUUUGGUAAUAGCACUUGCUUAUAUUGCUUUCUAUAAGUGGACAUAAUUAACUGCUUGUUUAUUAUGCAACAUUGCCAAGUGUUUCUGUGUUUGUAAAGAGUUGGAUAUACAAUGUACAUUGAAUUAAAUAAACGUUAUGAAAUUGUUAAAA
Molecule: RNA transcript, 3929 nt
Organism: Mercenaria mercenaria
Lineage: Eukaryota; Metazoa; Mollusca; Bivalvia; Venerida; Veneridae
Exons: 3
Source: RefSeq, a predicted model, not a curated record